RNAcentral lists this long non-coding RNA (2778 nucleotides) under Hordeum vulgare. RNAcentral's name for it is "long non-coding RNA (HVUL_LNC019343)". The record is from RNAcentral. Lineage: Eukaryota; Viridiplantae; Streptophyta; Magnoliopsida; Poales; Poaceae.
UCAUUUCCAAAGGUAUCAAGACUAGCAAAGCUUAAUGGGUGAGGUAUGGUUAAGUGGUGAGGUUGCAGCAGCGGCUAAGCAUAUGUUUGGUGGCUAACUUACGAGUACAAGAAAUAAGAGGGGGGAAUCUACGCAUAGCGGACGUGAACUACAGAUGAUCAAAUGAAUGAUCCUGAACACCUACCUACGUCAGACAUAACCCCACCAUGUCCUCGAUCGGAGAAGGAACUCACGAAAGAGACAAUCACGGUUACGCACACAGUUGGCAUAUUUUAAUUAAGUUAACUUCAAGUUAUCUAGAACCAGUGUUAAACAAAGUUUCCACGUUGCCACAUAACCGCGGGCACGGCUUUCCAAAAGAUUUAACCUUGCAGGGGUGCUCCAACUAGUCCAUCACAAAUUACCACAAGCCGCAUAGAAAUCCUCAAUCACGAAGCUCGCGAUCUCGUCGGAUUCCCUAGUGGAAAACCUCAACUCUGAGAUUACCCAAAGCAUCACCGGAAUCCCGAUGCACAAGAUAUUUCGUCAAAGGUAAAACUAAUCCAGCAAGGCCGCCCGACGUGUCGACGAUCCCGAUAGGAGUCGCGUACCUCGUUCUCAGGACACGACGGAUGAGCGAUGGUUACCACGCCAAACGCCGAGUUGCCCCGGGUAGCGUUAAUAAGCCGCUUUGUUUUGGACCAACACUCAUGAGGAGCACUGGCCCGGGGGUUGAUUAAAAUAGUUCGCGGGUGUCGGCGGGUCCCUAUGCAUUAUUAUUAGGUUAUUAGGCAAAUGUAGUACCAAAGUUGGGCCUUGCCAGACCAGCUUUAAUCUAAAACGAAUUAUCAAGGGGGUCCCCAUAACAACCCCGAUCGUGUUAGGAGCGCUCGAUUAUGGAACAUAACACCGGUAGCCGGUAACUAAAGGGGGCAAAGGUGGAACAAAACACCAGGCUAGAAAGGCCGAGCCUUCCACCUUUUGCCAAGUAUAUAGGUCCAUUAAAUUAAAUAGCAUUAGUAUGGUGAUAUAACAAGGAACCCAUGUUAUCACAUGGAAGCAAUGCACGUGCAACUAGCAACGCUAACACAGGGUUAAGCAAGCAGUAACAUAGCCAAUCAGUGGUUUGCUAGGUUGAACAGGUUGAAGGUUAACAUGGCAUUGUUGAGAGGCUGAUAUUUAACAGGUGGUAGGCAACGAGACAUAAUCGACAGAAGCGAUAAAACUAGCAUGGCAAUGAUAGUAAUGGUAUCUGGGGAAAUGAUCAUCUUGCCUGAGAUCCCGCUUGGAAGAAGAAUGACUCCGAGAAGCAGACGAACCGACGCAGUCGAACGGGUCCUCACAUCCGACACGCUUGCGGAACUCUAUCGAGACGGAGCAAACCGGAAACACAAAUCAACACACGGAAUUCACCACACGAUGCACAACACAAAAGAUGCAUGAACAACUGAAUACAUGCAAGUCACGGCAUGACAAAUCACACAAUCAAACACUACACAUUAAGUGAAGUUCAAUAUGCACGAGUUGCAUAUUGACGAAACUCCACAUUAAUUAUUUUGUUCACUCCCGGUUAUCUACACGGCAAUAUUAAUGUUGUCAAACAUGCAAGAGGUGAAGCGGAAAUUAAACUACCUAUCUAGGCAUUUUAAGUGAGGUCGGAAAUGACAUAUAGCACCUCCGAAACGACCUCACAUGUUAAUUUACAAUUCUGUCCAGAUCUGUACUAAUGCAUUUAAUUAGUUGUUCAACAGAAAAACAAAUAGGUUUACGUGAUUCUACGCGUCCAGGCAAGCAAUCUACACAUAAAGAACAUCACCAACGGAGCUACGGAACAAAAGCUACAAGCACCGCAAGAUAUGAUGGCAUGAAUGCAAUAUGUGUGCAACGUCGGUCACGAGCACUUCAAAACAUUCAAACAGCAAGAGAAAAUGAAACUACACGAGAUUCUAAGCAAGUUACAUGUAGGACAUGAUCAAAUCGGAGCUACGAUUCAACAACUACGAGCAAAACAAGAAAUGACUACGAUCUGCCAAAAUCAGCCACAUAGCAUUUUCUACGCCCCACAACUACGAGCUACACAACUCCGAUAUGCUCAAGCAAGGCAUGGCAUGGAAGAGGGAAAGAAGCACUACUACGAACAACUAACAACAACUAGCAUGGCAGCAAGGAGCACUAGAGAAAGAAGACACAAAAUGGCAUCCCACUCACUAUUUCAGACUUAGUGAAAAUUACACCUCGUGAAAGUGCAGUUUUCGAUCUGAAGCAAUAUUGACAGCAUCAAAAUCCUAAGCUACAGGACUCCAAAUGGCAUGAAACUUUACGGAAUGCUAGAGAAACACAAGGGUUACAACUAACUCCAUUGGACCAACCUCAAAAGAGCUACAGAUCACUAGAUGCAAGCAAGACAAGACAACAACAAAAUAUAACAGAUCCCAGACUUAGAAAUAUUUCAGCACGUCCAAAACAGCACUAUUUCUAGCAACUUGAGAGCAAGCAAACAACACCUAAACAUGCAGUUCUAUUGCAACUAAAAAUACCAGGGACUAAACAAAACAUCCAAGAUCAACUCUCUAGUUGACAGCUAAUUCGAACGGGGCACGGAAUAAAUCCUACGAAUUAAUCAAAAGGGCAACAAAGCAAAAUAUCUCGCGAACCAACUUACUCAAAACUAAAACUAAUUGCACAGAAAAAUCCAUGGGAUUUUUCUACCCCGGAAACAUAUAAAAUAUGUGGGGUUUGCAACACAAAAUAAUGCCACACAUUAAUGCGAGAUAAUCACCUAUAUACGGGAAAAUAAAC